AUUGAACGCUGGCGGCAGGCCUAACACAUGCAAGUCGAGCGGAUGAAGGGAGCUUGCUCCUGGAGUCAGCGGCGGACGGGUGAGUAAUGCCUAGGAAUCUGCCUGGUAGGGGUGGAGAACGUCCGGAAAAGGGCGCUAAUACCGCAUACGUCCUGAGGGAGAAAGUGGGGGAUCUUCGGACCUCACGCUAUCAGAUGAGCCUAGGUCGGAUUAGCUAGUUGGUGGGGUAAAGGCCUACCAAGGCGACGAUCCGUAACUGGUCUGAGAGGAUGAUCAGUCACACUGGAACUGAGACACGGUCCAGACUACUACGGGAGGCAGCAGUGGGGAAUAUUGGACAAUGGGCGAAAGCCUGAUCCAGCCAUGCCGCGUGUGUGAAGAAGGUCUUCGGAUUGUAAAGCACUUUAAGUUGGGAGGAAGGGCAGUAAGUUAAUACCUUGCUGUUUUGACGUUACCAACAGAAUAAGCACCGGCUAACUUCGUG
Molecule: ribosomal RNA, 484 nt
Filed under: uncultured bacterium
Lineage: Bacteria
Description: partial 16S ribosomal RNA
Rfam family: Bacterial small subunit ribosomal RNA
Source: RNAcentral